Non-coding RNA from Charadrius vociferus (killdeer), 1427 nucleotides. The record is from the annotation of a RefSeq genome assembly. NCBI's taxonomy places the organism in Eukaryota, Metazoa, Chordata, Aves, Charadriiformes, Charadriidae.
CAGAGAAAAACACGACUCCCAUCGCCUUCCUGGUGGCUCCUUGUUGCCAGCAAGCAACCGGUGCCACCGUUUUGGUCUGUUUGGUGACCAACAUCCCCACCACCGACCCCACCGUCCAGUGGGUGUCGCCGGCGGGCACCAGCGUCGCCGUGGCCGCCAACCCCGUGGCUUUGGCUACCGUGCAGUUGGCCAAGGAGAACGUCUACGUGAGCAGCAGAACCGUCAACAUCACCAGCGGCGACCGACCCCCCCAGUGCCACGUGAGCCAUGGACCUUCCAAUCUCAACUCCUUGCAGUUGCCCAAGGACGAUUGUAAGCCGAUGGAGGCGCCGGUUGGGGUGACGGCGGUGGAGGAACGCGUCUUCCUGGUGGAACCCCGGUGUGGAGAUGAUGAGGUGGAGUUGGAGCUCCUCUGCGGCGUCUGGAGCCCCACGGCGGAGCAGGUGAAGGUGUCCUGGUUGUUGAACGGGAAGGAGAUGUCUCCCACCGUCGGGAAGGAGAAGACCGGGGCGAGGAGUCAGUUGAAGAUCGGACGGGAGAGUUGGGACAAAGGGGACGUCUACACCUGCAGAGUGUCGCGGGCGACGGGUGGAGGGGCGGUGACGCGCAACAGCAGCAAGUGCACGGCCUGCGUGGGCGCCCCCGUCCCACCCCAGCUCUACCUCACCCAACCCUCCUACGCCGACCUCGUGGCCGGUGCCACCGCCUCCGUCACCUGUCUUCUCCUGGGGUGGCACCUAGAAGGUGCCACCCUCACCUGGGACGAUGACCGGGUGGGGCAGAUGGGGAGGGACCUCCUCCGCCACCCCAACGGCACCCAGGGUCUUCUCCUCGCCCGCCCCGUCACCCUGGAGGAGUGGUUGGGCGGCCGCCACCUGCACUGCCACGCCACUGUCCCCUGCCACCGCAACGUCACCAAGGAGGUCCACCUGGGGCCCGGCCCCAACCUCCAGAAGCCCCCGAAUGUGACGGUGACCCGUGUCCCCGGCGGGGCCACCCAAGGGGACCUCCUCCUCUGCGACGUCACCGACUUCUCCCCCCGAGACAUCGUCCUCCAGUGGACGGGGGGCAGAGACCUCCAAGCCCGUACCAAAAUGGGACCCGUCACCGGCCGGGAGGUCUUCUCCGUCCUCAGCGUCCUGCGCUUGGAGGUGGGGGAGGAGGGGAAGGACUACGUUUGCGUGGUGCACCACCCCACCCUGAAGGAACCGCGGCACGUCGGCGAAGCCGCCGACCCCUGGGAUUGCGGCGGGCUGAGGGCGGUGCCUUGCGGCUUGGUGGGCGAAGGAGAUGACCUGGAGCCGGAGGAGGACGGCAGUGCCUGGACCACCUUCUCCACCUUCGUGGUGCUCUUCCUCCUCCUCAUCUUCUACAGCGGCUUCGUCACCUUCAUUAAGGUAACGAAGGUGCGGGUUGCCCGGCCUUAG